CCUGCUUGAGGUACAAAGUAUGUGAUGAGGUACAUAAAAAAGGGAGAGGCUGCGCCUCUAGAGGCGAAUCAGAGUUUAGUUUGGCAUAUCAUGGUAAGCGCAUUGAGGAAGUGACAGUCCCUAUAUGUUGGGUCCCUCAGGGCCCAGCUCAUGCCUGUGGGGCUGGAGGAGGAGGAAAAAAAAAAAAAAAGAAAAAAGGCCAGUAAAAAAGAUAUGGUAGUCCCUUGGGUGAGCUUAUCUGUCCGACGUGUGGAGCUUGCUGCCUUGAACCUUGU
Pelobates cultripes (western spadefoot toad) is the source of this 275-nucleotide non-coding RNA. Lineage: Eukaryota; Metazoa; Chordata; Amphibia; Anura; Pelobatidae. The record is from the annotation of a GenBank genome assembly.